Molecule: long non-coding RNA, 2566 nt
Filed under: Rattus norvegicus (Norway rat)
Lineage: Eukaryota; Metazoa; Chordata; Mammalia; Rodentia; Muridae
Description: long non-coding RNA NONRATT024634
Source: RNAcentral
AACAUUUUAGGCCUAUGUCUGGGUUCCCUCCUCUAUAGCUUACGAAUUCUGACCUGUCCCCUGUAUCUAUUGUGGCGUGGCCAUUCUCCAUCUUGUCUUCCUGAGUGAUGGAUUAUAUAUCUAACUCCUGGGAGUGUAGACUCUAGAGCCAGUUCUUACAGGAACUGGCCUCUUAGUGUUCUCUCAUCUGUCUUCACACAUCCCCUAGCUCUGCCCUGCCCUUGUACCUCAGUGGCAGUUGUGGACUUUUCAGGGAAUGAAUGGGAAAUUUAGUUCAGGACUGAUGGGACCCCCCUCAGGUUUAGUCCUAGGAGCAAGGCCAUUCUCUGGUCUCUGCUCUUCCCCUCACAACCUCCUCACAGGGCAGUUACUGCUUGUACUCCAGGAGAGCUCACCCUGCCUUCCAGAACACCCUCCCACCACUCUACUAUAGCACUUAGCGUGUCUGCCUGUGUUCAGCCUUCUCACCCCAUGCUUAUCUGGACAUUGAAGCUUGGAAAACCAGUGGUGACUUCAACAUGACUUUGAUUCAUCUACUCAUCCACCUAGCUAUCCAUCUAGUCAUCUGUCAACCCAUCCAUCCAUCCAUCCAUCUAUCCAUCCAUCCAUCCAUCCAUCCAUCCAUCCAUCCAUCCAACCAUCCAUCCAUGCAUUGGGCGUCCAUCACUUGACCUGGUGCUUUGGGCCUCCCCUCUCCUGAAAGCCAACCCCUUCACCUUGGGCAAGCUGUAUGACACCAUGGGCUGUGGUCAUGAAGCAAGGUCCCCUUUCGUAGCCUCCACCUCCUAGGUCAUGGCUCUGAGCACGUCCCAGCUGGACCCCAUCACCACAGCUUUUCCUCCAUGAGGCUUCUCACACCCCUCUAUUGUGAUCCAGGAGGGUCAGGUUCCCAGAGUACCCUGGGGCCAACCCCUCUCACCAUAGCAGAGCUGCCUCCCCAGGCUUCACCCUGCCUGGUGCAUGGUCCCUGUCAUGAGCUUUGCCUUCAGCCUUGCAGCUUCCUCAACCAGAUGGUAGUGGCUGUAACUCACGUGCUCAUUCCUUCACACCUUCAUCCAUUCUCUUACAGUCAGCAAGCAUCUUAAAAAAAUAGCUAGUGCUAUACUAGAGCCGGCUCACAAGGGCUCAUUGCACCACUGCCCUUUGAAAGAAGAGAUGGGGACAUUUGUAAAGAAGCUGUGUUUGUGUGGCCAAUAAGAUGAGCUUUUUGAUUUCAAUUCAAACUUCAGGCCUGAGUUAUAGUGCAAGCUUGAUUACUCUCUCCGAUUUUGUUCCUCGCAGAACUAGGUUGAUUAGUAAUCAGCAAACUGUGUUCCCUGGGUGCUCAGAAAUCAUAGCCCAAAUCCUUAAGAGGCCCAAAUGGGGAGUGGACUAAGCAUUAGGCAGCUGGCUCUGGCUGCGAGCAGGCUUUCAAGGCUGCGAGACACCCUGUUCUUCGACAAGCAUGAUCUGAGAGUCAUUCUGGCCACUUUGGAGCUCAGCUAAUGCCUGGCUCCCUUUUAGAGAAAAUUGCAGGAGACGGUUGCUUGUACAGGUGACAAGGAUCACGUCCCAGUGUCCUGUCUGAAUAAUCCAUUCGCAGACCCAGGCAAGCAAGGCACUUGGCACUUUGCAAACCCCGAGCUCAACCCUAUGCAUUUGAUGGGGUCCCAGGCUAGUUAGGCUUCCCUCUAGUUUUCUACUGUGAAAGGGAAGAGGCCCAGGUCCCUUCUGAAUUCUCUUCCCACUGGAAACAGUAGGGGUUGGCAAGGCCAGGACCUGGAGCUGGACAAAUUGUGUACUAGAUCUUAUCUAAGAGCUUGAGUGUAUGUUUUGUGAUGGGGACCGUGAUGCCCACCUCUCAGGGCUGUUGUGAGGAUUGGUGUAACUGGACACUUCUGACUGUGACUGGAGAAGGCAGUGUAUGUGUCCCUGGGGGGUGUGCCAGAGCAUUGGGAACCCUAGGUCUGGUGUGGGAGGUGGCCUUUCUUGGGUAUGAUGGGGAAUAGUUUGCAUAUGUUAAAUUUAUGUAUUUUCAUAUAAAGUAGGGACUCUUGGUAGUACCUCUGUCUUCUGCCCCCCUCCCUUGGACACAUUCACACCUACCUCUAGGAGAGAUUGGGGAUACCUUUAGCUCUCUGACCGAGGACCAAGCCUCUGACUCAGACCUGUAUAUGGCACCAAGUUACAACCCUUUCCAAAAGGCUCUUCCCAGGGGAGCACUUGGCAUUUUCUGGCAGACCCCAUUAUCCCUUUCCCAAUGCCCUCUCUCUGACUUUGAGCAUCAGGCCAGACUGCCUGAGAUCUGGUGCCUGCCACAGUGCCUGGCCAGGGGUGAGGCUUUGGUUACCUUCUGUUGUAUUUGUGUGGAUAGAUGGGCAGCUAACAAUUGUAACAGGUCCUAGGGUCAGAUGUGGAUGGUCUCAUACAGUGGCUUCUAAUGGAGAAUGUAUCUGAACCCAUAUCAAAUCACCUCACUGUAUUUUUCUCUUCCCUAACCUGUUAACUAGCCAUUGUUGUAGGGGGCUUUUGCACAGUGCCUCACUGUCUCACAUGCUAAGUAAAGGAACUCCUGCUUUCUGCCGAG